Molecule: ribosomal RNA, 38 nt
Filed under: Xanthoporus syringae
Lineage: Eukaryota; Fungi; Basidiomycota; Agaricomycetes; Polyporales; Steccherinaceae
Description: Albatrellus syringae partial 18S ribosomal RNA
Source: RNAcentral
CAUUAUUGAAUGAAUUUGGGUGGGGUUGUUGCUGGCCC